Molecule: long non-coding RNA, 2278 nt
Organism: Vespa crabro (European hornet)
Lineage: Eukaryota; Metazoa; Arthropoda; Insecta; Hymenoptera; Vespidae
Exons: 3
Source: RefSeq, a predicted model, not a curated record
AGAAAGAUAGAGAGAGAGAGAGAGAGAGGAAGAUAGAGAGAGAGAGAAAGAUAGAGAGAAAUAACUACUAGAUUUCAUUUCGUUCAUUAAUUCUGCCUGUCUCCAUAUUGGACAUAUCUUGAUUCAAUCAGAAUGAAUAAAAUGAUACUCAGACGAUAAGAAUAUAAAUGUCCAACGAUUGUCCAAAUAUAUUCAGUUUAUCUAGAAAAUUUCUAGGAGAGAACAUCGACGAUUCCAACAUCAUAGAAGAGAGAUAAAUAUCUUUCGUAUCUCGGCAGAAAUUUCUAUGUGAUUUUUAUUAAUAUCGAAGGAAACGGACGACAGAACGGAGAAGUUUGUCGCGUUCGACCUGAAAACCCAAAGGCCCGCGUAGCCUCGACCUUGUCAACCAAAUAAGGACCUAUUCAAGGUCUUCGGAGCCUUGCGUAAGGCCCCCUUUUAUACUGUGCGAGCCAAUGUUGGCAUAACGAUCAAGUCGAUUCUAUUAAAGAAAAUCAAAGAUAAGUAAGAAAAUAAAAAAAGAAAAGAGAUCCUUUUCGACAUGGGCGUGCCGUUCGCGAAUACGUGCCGUAGGUAACGUCUGCCUCUCCGCGGCCGAAAUCAAUACAGAAUGCGACGGUAAGUUCAACGUACCCACCCAGAAGAGGAAUGCUUAAGGCUCUUUCCCGUUGGAUGACGACGAAAAUCCGUCGGGAUAUUGUCCAGACGAUGAAAUCGUUGGGAGAUAGGUUUAGAGGUCGUAAACCUAUCUUAAAAACCGACAGAUUACUUAACAUCUCUGGAGAAUUUUGAUUUUUAGCAAGAAAACUUGUGUCUAAGCAAUCGUUACUUGUUCUCGUAUUUCUUUUAGAUGCUAUGUACGAUUGUGUACAUAGUGGCGAUUGUAAGUCUCUCCAACGAUUGGAAGAAGUGAAACUUUGAGAAAAAGGUUAGAUCCAGAUUGUAUCUUAAGAGGAUAGAUUUUCUUUGCAAAUAUAACAUAAAAAUUCUGUUUAUUUUUCCUUUCUUUUUUAAGCCAUAUAACUUUCUUAAUUAGUAUUAUUGCAUUCAAUGUGUCAAUUAGUCUUAAAAUUAAACUCGUCCUGGUUGAAAUUUUUACGAGAUGGUGACGAUGGUCAGCCAACUAUGUAAAUAUUCUUAUUUUCAAAGAGCUACAUAAAUGCUUCGUUAAAUUCUAACAAUUAAUAGCCAAAGAUCGGACAGUCAAUCUCUAACAACAUGCUCACCGUUCUAACGAAAAUUGGCUUUUACGGUAAACGGAUAGUUGCAUGGUCAUGCUCCUUUUCGUUGUUAAUCGUAUCGGAAGAGUGAUCAGAUAUUACACCGACUCUAACUAUGUUCAAUUUCUUCAUUCUCUUCUACUAAUUGUAUGUAAUUCUUUGAAAUACCGCUGUGUGUAUUUUUUUUUAUCUUAUCACGAAUUUAUCCCAAACAUAUGACGAUAAUUGUUUAUCAGUUUUUUAAAAGUCUAUUUGAUAUUCUCACCUAUAACAUUAUAUAUUAUUAUUAUUAUUAUUAUUAUUAUUAUUAUUAUUAUUAUUAUUAUUAUUAUUAUUAUUAUUAUUAUUGUGUCGUAAUCAGAAAAAAAAUUAUAAAUCUGACGUACAAUUUACGUUUUUAAAUUCCAUGAAUAAUUUAAAACUUAUAAAUUAUAAAUCAUUAGAUAAGUUUAUACGUAAGGGGAAAAAUAGAGAUAGAGAUAGAGAGAGAGAGAGAGAGAGAGAGAGAGAGAGAGAGAGAGAGAGAUCAUAGUACGAUCAUGUAGAUUGUAGAUCGAGACAACAGUCUUCAAUGGCGAUCGCGUAGCACGCGAAGAAUCCGGCCAGAAGAGGUGACGACGAUAAAUAACGCGAUCGCUAUAUUUAGUUAUUCUUUGUAUGAGUAUUCUGUACACGCAUGUGUAUAUGUAUAUUUCUUUCGAUAGAACGCAAAGAGAAGCGACGUCUUCUUUUUUGAUCUCUUCACCGACACAUCCGAGUUUUUGUAGUAGUCAUUCUCGUAGUGUGACAAGUCAGCUGACGGUAAAGGCAACGACGAUAAUAAGGCCGGUUCGCGUACGUAGAUACGUACGUACAUACAUACAUAUAUCGGUCGUGAUGUUUGUGAAUAUAACCGAAGGCAAAGUCAACGAUGAUUCAAAGCAAUGACAUUUGCGUCGAGUAACUCGUGUUCCUUUUUACAAACGUUUUUCAUUUUUUCUUUUUUUAUUAGUUUCUCAUCAAUCUUACGAAGCUAAAGAUUUAAUUUAUUUUUUAUAAUUUCGUAUUGUCGACAUUUA